AGUGAACGCUGGCGGCGUGCCUAAUACAUGCAAGUCGAACGAUGAAGUCCUAGCUUGCUAGGAUGGAUUAGUGGCGCACGGGUGAGUAAUAUAUAGUUAAUCUGCCCUACACAGAGGAACAACAGUUGGAAACGGCUGCUAAUACCUCAUACUCCUAUUUGACAUAAGUUAAAUAGGGAAAGUCUUUUCUGUGUAGGAUGAGACUAUAUCGUAUCAGCUAGUUGGUAAGGUAAUGGCUUACCAAGGCUAUGACGCGUAACUGGUCUGAGAGGAUGAGCAGUCACAUUGGAACUGAGACACGGUCAAAACUCCUACGGGAGGCAGCAGUAAGGAAUAGUGCGCAAUGGGGGAAAGCCUGACGCAGCAACGCAGCGUGGAGGAUGACAAUUUUCGGAGCGUAAACUCCUUUUAUAAGGAAAGAAUAAUGACGGUACCUGAUGAAUAAGCACCGGCUAACUCCGUG
This 463-nucleotide ribosomal RNA is filed under the name uncultured bacterium. RNAcentral describes it as "partial 16S ribosomal RNA". It matches the Rfam family "Bacterial small subunit ribosomal RNA", at positions 29 to 507 of the family's 1533-position model. The record is from RNAcentral.